UACGUAGGGUGCGAGCGUUGUCCGGAAUUAUUGGGCGUAAAGAGCUCGUAGGCGGUGUGUCGCGUCGGCCGUGAAAACCUGGGGCUCAACUCUGGGCGUGCGGUCGAUACGGGCAUCACUUGAGUUCGGCAGGGGAGACUGGAAUUCCUGGUGUAGCGGUGAAAUGCGCAGAUAUCGGGAGGAACACCAGUAGCGAAGGCGGCACUCUGGGCCGGUACUGACGCUGAGGAGCGAAAGCGUGGGGAGCGAACAGG
Molecule: ribosomal RNA, 254 nt
Filed under: uncultured bacterium
Lineage: Bacteria
Description: partial 16S ribosomal RNA
Rfam family: Bacterial small subunit ribosomal RNA
Source: RNAcentral